GUAGGUGGCAAGCGUUGUCCGGGAAUUAUUGGGGCGUAAAGCGCGCGCAGGCGGUUCUUUAAGUCUGAUGUGAAAGCCCACGGGCUCAACCGUGGGAGGGUCAUUGGAAACUGGAGAACUCGAGUACAGAAGAGGAAAGCAGAAUUCCACGUGUAGCGGUGAAAUGCGUAGAGAUGUGGAGGAACACCAGUGGCGAAGGCGGCUUUCUGGUCUGUAACUGACGCUGAGGCGCGAAAGCGUGGGGAGCAAACAGGAUUAGAUACCCUGGUAGUCCACGCCGUAAACGAUGAGUGCUAAGUGUUAGGGGGUUUCCGCCCCUUAGUGCUGCAGCUAACGCAUUAAGCACUCCGCCUGGGGAGUACGGCCGCAAAGGCUGA
This 377-nucleotide ribosomal RNA is filed under the name uncultured organism. Its description in RNAcentral is "partial 16S ribosomal RNA". It matches the Rfam family "Bacterial small subunit ribosomal RNA", at positions 527 to 897 of the family's 1533-position model. The record is from RNAcentral.